RNAcentral lists this ribosomal RNA (544 nucleotides) under uncultured Staphylococcus sp. RNAcentral's name for it is "bacterial SSU rRNA". It matches the Rfam family "Bacterial small subunit ribosomal RNA", at positions 132 to 663 of the family's 1533-position model. Lineage: Bacteria; Bacillati; Bacillota; Bacilli; Caryophanales; Staphylococcaceae. The record is from RNAcentral.
AUAAGACUGGGAUAACUUCGGGAAACCGUAGCUAAUACCGGAUAAUAUCUUGAACCGCAUGGUUCAAAAGUGAAAGACGGUCUUGCCGUCACUUAUAGAUGGAUCCGCGCUGCAUUAGCUAGUUGGUAAGGUAACGGCUUACCAAGGCAACGAUGCAUAGCCGACCUGAGAGGGUGAUCGGCCACACUGGAACUGAGACACGGUCCAGACUCCUACGGGAGGCAGCAGUAGGGAAUCUUCCGCAAUGGGCGAAAGCCUGACGGAGCAACGCCGCGUGAGUGAUGAAGGUCUUCGGAUCGUAAAACUCUGUUAUUAGGGAAGAACAUAUGUGUAAGUAACUGUGCACAUCUUGACGGUACCUAAUCAGAAAGCCACGGCUAACUACGUGCCAGCAGCCGCGGUAAUACGUAGGUGGCAAGCGUUAUCCGGAAUUAUUGGGCGUAAAGCGCGCGUAGGCGGUUUUUUAAGUCUGAUGUGAAAGCCCACGGCUCAACCGUGGAGGGUCAUUGGAAACUGGAAAACUUGAGUGCAGAAGAGGAAAGUG